Molecule: small nuclear RNA, 182 nt
Filed under: Salmo salar (Atlantic salmon)
Lineage: Eukaryota; Metazoa; Chordata; Actinopteri; Salmoniformes; Salmonidae
Description: U2 spliceosomal RNA (ENSSSAG00000094494.1)
Rfam family: U2 spliceosomal RNA
About the family: U2 is a small nuclear RNA (snRNA) component of the spliceosome (involved in pre-mRNA splicing).
Source: RNAcentral
UAUCCUUCUCGGCCUUUUGGCUCAGAUCAGUGUAGUAUCUGUUCUUAUCAGUUUAAUAUCUACUCCCCAUGGGGGGCUACAUAUUAAAUGGAUUUUUCGAACAGGGGAGUCGGAAAUGGGGCUUGCUCCGUCCGCUCCACCGUCGACCGGUAUUGCAUACCUCCGGGAAUGGUGCAACACUU